AUUCCUUCUCUUCAAGUCUCACAUUGUGCAUGUCUAAGACACGAUGAUGGAUUCCUAUUGGAGCUCUAAUAGGAUCAUGUGUAACACAUUAACAGGUACCACUGUCAACUCUAUUUUUUUUCUUUCAAAAAGGAGGAUAACUCCUACCCUUUGCAUCGACUGAUGCACACAACCAUAUAUUAUUAAAGCCAGGCAAAGAUAUACAGCAAAGCCGAACAAUGUCGACCAAAAAAGAAAAAUAGUAAUUUCACCAAACUACCACUAACCCUAUGGCACAUGUGAAAACAAAAGAAAAGAAAACAACUACUAGGCAAAUCCUUCAAGAAGGGACGCCAUACGUUCGCCGAUGAUGACGAAUCCACCUUAGAUCGAACUAGGGAUUUUCAUCCCCACAGCCAAGCUUCGAGCCACCAUUUUCAACGGGGACACUGGAGUGUGCAGACUUGCCGUCAAUAGCAACAGGCAUGUCUUGGCGCCUCACCGUGAGUUGCUGAGUGUAGCACCUGCUCCUGUUGUAAGAGUCCUCACCCGAAAUGAAUGCAAACAAAUAUGUUGCCAUCCUCAAACCUAGAUUAGCCGUCGUAGCCUGACGAGACAUGGAGUACAAUCGGCAUACCCGCUGAAGCACGACGCUGCCACCAUGGCAAAUGUAGGCAGUUGCAGAUAAUUUGCACAUUCCUACAAUAAAUAAGACACACAAUAAUUUGCAUUUGUUCAGACCC
This 722-nucleotide long non-coding RNA is filed under the name Brachypodium distachyon (stiff brome). RNAcentral describes it as "long non-coding RNA (BDIS_LNC001135)". Lineage: Eukaryota; Viridiplantae; Streptophyta; Magnoliopsida; Poales; Poaceae. The record is from RNAcentral.